GAGUUUGAUCGUGGCUCAGAUUGAACGCUGGCGGCAGGCCUAACACAUGCAAGUCGAGCGGUAGAGAGAAGCUUGCUUCUCUUGGAGAGCGGCGGACGGGUGAGUAAUGCCUAGGAAUCUGCCUGGUAGUGGGGGAUAACGCUCGGAAACGGACGCUAAUACCGCAUACGUCCUACGGGAGAAAGCAGGGGACCUUCGGGCCUUGCGCUAUCAGAUGAGCCUAGGUCGGAUUAGCUAGUUGGUGAGGUAAUGGCUCACCAAGGCGACGAUCCGUAACUGGUCUGAGAGGAUGAUCAGUCACACUGGAACUGAGACACGGUCCAGACUCCUACGGGAGGCAGCAGUGGGGAAUAUUGGACAAUGGGCGAAAGCCUGAUCCAGCCAUGCCGCGUGUGUGAAGAAGGUCUUCGGAUUGUAAAGCACUUUAAGUUGGGAGGAAGGGCAGUAAAUUAAUACUUUGCUGUUUUGACGUUACCGACAGAAUAAGCACCGGCUAACUCUGUGACAGCCG
RNAcentral lists this ribosomal RNA (511 nucleotides) under uncultured bacterium. RNAcentral describes it as "bacterial SSU rRNA". It matches the Rfam family "Bacterial small subunit ribosomal RNA", at positions 9 to 514 of the family's 1533-position model. The record is from RNAcentral.